RNAcentral lists this long non-coding RNA (950 nucleotides) under Lathyrus oleraceus (garden pea). RNAcentral describes it as "Pisum sativum (pea) long non-coding RNA (PSAT_LNC033919)". Lineage: Eukaryota; Viridiplantae; Streptophyta; Magnoliopsida; Fabales; Fabaceae. The record is from RNAcentral.
GCAAGAAGAGUUUAAGACUAUAUAUAGGAUUGAAGUUCUUCAUUCCAAGAUGCACCCGUCAAAAACAUUUUAAAUUUUUAUGUGUGUUUCUUUGUUCUCUUAUACUCUUGUAUUAGAGUGUUGUGAGAUGUAUUUGAGUUAGUUGAGAGUAUAUUAUAUGUUGUAAUAAUUUUCACAUAGUGUUAUUCUUUGAUUGUCUAUUGUCAACUGUCGUGGUUUCCACGUUAUGUUCUUUUGGUUCGACUCAGGGAUAAGUGUUCUUAGUCUGCUCUGUAGUUGCAGUAGAAAAUUGAUGGAAGAUUUUUUUUUACUUAUGAAAAGUUCAAAACAAAGAUGUAUUAAUACAAUCAAAAUUACACAAGAUGCAAGAUUAUGUCGGUGGUUGAAGAGCUUCUUGCCAACAAGAAAGUUUCACUAUAAUGUUUCAACCUGGUUUUGGACAUGUGAAAAUUCUUGAAGUGAUUUACCUUCAAGUGAAGUAUACUCUUCUUUAGGUGGAGUAUGAUAGCUUUUUAAAACUAUCGGUGAAGACAAUGUGAAAUUCUUGGAGUGAUUUAACUUCAAGUGAACUUUAUUCUUCAUGAAAAAGUAUAUGAUUGUCGGUGAUGACAAUGUGAAACUCUUGAAGUGGUUUAUCUUCAAGUGAAAUAUAUUCUUAUAUUCUUCAUGAGAGAGUAUGAUAGUUUUAACACUAUGAUUGUCAGUGAAGAUAAUGUGAAAACUCUUGGAGUGGUGUAACUUCAAGUGAUUAUACUCUUUAUGGUGGAAUAUGAUUGUCGGUGAAGACAAUGAAAUUUUAUGUAAUCAUUAGUGUCGAAAGAGAAAUUUAAGAGAAAUUUACACCAAUUUUUUAUACAUUUAACAUCCGUUAUUAGAGGGUAUGAAUUCAAAGGGUGAGAAAUGUCUGAUGAAUUUACACAUGUUUUAAAACGGGUGCAAAUAGAUAUAUU